GCGCGCGUAGCACAAUUGGUUAGUGCACCGAGCUUAUACCUCGGCGGUUCCUGGUUCGAGUCCAGGCGCGCGCACAA
This 77-nucleotide transfer RNA is filed under the name Candidatus Wolfebacteria bacterium. Its description in RNAcentral is "tRNA-Ile". It matches the Rfam family "tRNA". Rfam says of the family: Transfer RNA (tRNA) molecules are approximately 80 nucleotides in length. Their secondary structure includes four short double-helical elements and three loops (D, anti-codon, and T loops). Lineage: Bacteria; Candidatus Wolfeibacteriota. The record is from RNAcentral.